AGUUUGAUCAUGGCUCAGAUUGAGCGCUAGCGGGAUGCCUUACACAUGCAAGUCGAACGGCAGCGCGGACUUCGGUCUGGCGGCGAGUGGCGAACGGGUGAGUAAUAUAUCGGAACGUGCCCAGUAGCGGGGGAUAACUACUCGAAAGAGUAGCUAAUACCGCAUACGCCCUACGGGGGAAANNNNNNNAUCGCAAGACCUCUCACUAUUGGAGCGGCCGAUAUCGGAUUAGCUAGUUGGUGGGGUAAAGGCCCACCAAGGCGACGAUCCGUAGCUGGUUUGAGAGGACGACCAGCCACACUGGGACUGAGACACGGCCCACACUCCUACGGGAGGCAGCAGUGGGGAAUUUUGGACAAUGGGGGAAACCCUGAUCCAGCCAUUCCCCGUGUGCGAUGAAGGCCUUCGGGUUGUAAAGCACUUUUGGCAGGGAAGAAAUCGCACAAAUUAAUACUUUGUGUGGAUGACGGUACCUGCAGAAUAAGCACCGGCUAACUACGUGCCAGCAGCCGCGGUAAAUACGUAGGGGGGCAAGCGUUAAUCGGAAUUACUGGGGCGGUAAAGCGUGGCGCAGGCGGUUCGGAAAAGAAAGGUGUGAAAUCCCAGGGCUUUAACCUUGGGAACUGCACUUUUAACUUCCCGAGCUAGAGUAUGUCAGAAGGGGGUGGGAAUUCCGCGUGUAGCAGUGAAAUGCGUAGAUAUGCGGAGGAACACCGAUGGCGAAGGCAGCCCCCCUGGGAUAAUACUGACGCUCAUGCACGAAAGCGUGGGGAGCAAACAGGAUUAGAUACCCUGGGAGUCCACGCCCUAAACAAUGUCAACUAACUGUUGGGGGCUUCGNCCUUAGUAGCGCAGCUUACGCGUGAGUUGACCGCCUGG
Molecule: ribosomal RNA, 879 nt
Filed under: uncultured bacterium
Lineage: Bacteria
Description: bacterial SSU rRNA
Rfam family: Bacterial small subunit ribosomal RNA
Source: RNAcentral